GACGAACCGUGCGAACGUUGUUCGGAAUCACUGGGCUUAAAGGGCGCGUAGGCGGCCCGCUAAGUCGAACGUGAAAUCCCCGAGCUCAACUCGGGAACUGCGUCCGAUACUGGCGGGCUUGAAUCCGGGAGAGGGAUGCGGAAUUCCAGGUGUAGCGGUGAAAUGCGUAGAUAUCGGGAGGAACAUCAGUGGCGAAGGCGGCCCUCUGGUCCAGUACUGACACUCAAGUGCGAAAGCGUGGGGAGCAAACAGG
Molecule: ribosomal RNA, 253 nt
Filed under: uncultured bacterium
Lineage: Bacteria
Description: partial 16S ribosomal RNA
Rfam family: Bacterial small subunit ribosomal RNA
Source: RNAcentral